GUUUGAUCCUGGCUCAGGAUGAACGCUGGCGGCGUGCCUAAUACAUGCAAGUCGAGCGAAUGGAUUAAGAGCUUGCUCUUAUGAAGUUAGCGGCGGACGGGUGAGUAACACGUGGGUAACCUGCCCAUAAGACUGGGAUAACUCCGGGAAACCGGGGCUAAUACCGGAUAA
Molecule: ribosomal RNA, 171 nt
Filed under: Bacillus thuringiensis serovar kurstaki str. HD-1
Lineage: Bacteria; Bacillati; Bacillota; Bacilli; Caryophanales; Bacillaceae
Description: partial small subunit ribosomal RNA
Rfam family: Bacterial small subunit ribosomal RNA
Source: RNAcentral